This 697-nucleotide long non-coding RNA is filed under the name Ananas comosus (pineapple). Its description in RNAcentral is "long non-coding RNA (ACOM_LNC038221)". Lineage: Eukaryota; Viridiplantae; Streptophyta; Magnoliopsida; Poales; Bromeliaceae. The record is from RNAcentral.
AAAUUAAUUCGAGCCGAGCUCGAGAGAGCCUAAUUGCAAGUCGAGCGAGCUCGAGCCCUAAACGAGCCGCUUGAAAUUCUCAACAUUUUACGAUCAAUAGUUUAAUUUGUAUAGAACAUUAUCUAUAAUUUGAUAUAAAAAUAUGUCUAAUAAUUCAAAGUACAAAAUAAUUAUAUGAAAUAUAGUAUUAUAAUAUGACAAAAAAUAAUUUAUGAGUUGAAUAUCUAAUUUUUUCAGUCUCACAUGUCUUUUCUUCCGCCUUCAAUCUCUAUAUUAUUCAUUUUCAUUUACGCAGUCAAAAAUAAAUAAAUUAUAUAGAUAAAUAUUGGAUUAAACUAUCCGAUCAUAUAUAACUAAAAUUAAAAUUUUAUAUGAAUAAUAAUUUUUUACUUUAAAAAUAUUCUGUAUAUUUUCUCAAACAUACAAUUAAAGAUAGGCAACGGCGGGUAUAUGAUGUUACUUGGUAACUUAGAGGGCUUCCGGCUUGGCCACUUAGGGUGAGAGAUAGAAAAAGAGAGAGAGAAACAUAUUGAAAAUUUAGAGCUCUGUAAAAAAAAGAAAAAAAGGAAAAUUAUAUAAAUUUAGUAAAAUUUUGCUCUUUUAUUUGUCUAUUGGAUUUGUUUUUAUGGGCCAACAACAUUGGGCCAAUUUUAACUAAACUCAGAUUAUUCACUCAGCCUAUAUAUAAUUAAAAUAU